Long non-coding RNA from Numida meleagris (helmeted guineafowl), 4133 nucleotides. RefSeq lists it as uncharacterized. The transcript is spliced from 4 exons. The record is from RefSeq and is a predicted model, not a curated record. Lineage: Eukaryota; Metazoa; Chordata; Aves; Galliformes; Numididae.
UUCUCACACUGCCCUGCCUGUGAGGGGACUGGGGCUACACAAGAAGCUGGGAGUCGACAGAAUCAAGACAGCUGACCCAAGUUGACCACAGGGAUAUUCCAUACCGUAUGUCAACACACUGACCCAUAAGACCAGGAUCCUUCUGUUCCUGAGUGUCCAUCUAAAAAUCCUCUACAAUGAGUAUAUACAGGAUCUCCAUCAAACAGUUGGAUUUAAUCUGACCAAUGACCUGUGGAAAGCAUCUUUCUGCUGGAUCACAAGGGAGGUCAACAAGCUUCAGGGAAGAAUCAGCCUGCCCGAGACUGGCCAUCUAAAUAGGACCAACCUCUGAGCUCACCAAGUUUGGCACCAUGCCAUGCUGACCCAAAGCACAAAGUUCAGCAAAGAAGAGAGACACAGACCCUGCUCCUUAAUCAUCGAGGAGCUCCUACCAGCACUGGGGGCUGGAGAGAAGAGAGACCCUCCCCAGCCCUCAACAGCACUGCCUACACAAUAGGGUUGACAGUCCUAUGUACCCACCUGAAUGAGGCAUCCAAGCAAACUCUUCUGCCUGCUGCUCUUCUCCCCACAUCAUCCUUGAAUCAGUCAUCCAUGGCUGAAAAGGGAGAGUACUCCUGGCAACACGAGCUCAGGAUUUACUAUGAUUUUGCUGCUCAGCUUGCAGUAAGAUGAACCCAACAAGUUCAGGCCAAAGCCCCUGUGCCUCGUCUUUUCUGUUCUCCUAUUUGUGCUGCUUUCUUCACCCUGUAAAACACAAAGAGUUCAGUCCCUUUCCUACUGCUGCUAGCUCCAAAUGGAAACAAUGCUUAUCUGAAAGGACAAAUACUCACCACUGAAAACAACCAAGCACAGAAGGCUGCAUCCUGCCACACUGUAUAUGUAUAGCUCCUACUGAAGUAUUUUUGAGCACCUUCAUUGACUAGAAGAAUCAAAAGUGCAGUAUUUGAAGCUGUGAGACAUCAGCAACCCCUCAAAGGAGCUAAGCAACCCAAACUCUCAUGGGGAAUAUGCAGAAACAUCCCCUCCAGUCUGCAGGUUUGCAGUGUCCAUACCCCUCUAUACCACUAUGGGACUUGCUUGUGAAGCCAUGGAUAAAAGCAGAUACAUCCCUUCAGAGGACAGCAUCUUUAGCAUUACUAGUGCCUCACCUGUAUUCCUUACUGUGGCUCUUACAGAACACUAUCUUUGUUCAGGGUAUGACAAAACAGAGAUUAUAAGAAUUUUUUCCUGCAGCCAACGCUCUGUCCCAGACAGUGGUUACACUUCUUUCAAUAAUAGAAAACAAAAUUAAAUCUUACAGCAGAUUAUUCUGCAACUUAUUCCAUAGGAUGCUUUUAGCCACCAACCUGGAAGCACACUUAGGUGCCAUGCACUAGAGGAUUUUUCUAUUUCAAGUUACACACAGAUAUUUGGGUCUCCUGACCUUCUCAGGCACCAUAUAGAGCCCAAGCCACUUUUUGCAGGGGACAGUGGAUGAGAGCCCGAUGGAAUCCAAUCUUUUGUUCCACUUUCCAGAAACAAAGACCAUGGUCUGCUGCAAUGACAGAAAGCCUCACCUGCAGAAGAGGUUUCUGGGUAGCAAUAAAAAUAAUUGUAAGAGGCAAAACCACAGGUUUGAAUCAAGGAAACUGUAUCUUUGUUAAAAACUAGGCCUCAUAGCUUGUGUAAACUUUAGGAAGCCAUAGAAAUGCGAAGUUCUUGAAGACAAGUGAAGAUAAGUAGAGCUGCUGUUUACAACUCAGGGGGUAGGGGGUCCGUGAAGAUAAGGAGGCAAAGUUGAAAACACAAUGGACGGUAGGGUUGCUGUUUACAACACAAUGGAGGGUCCAGUGAAGAUAAGCAGAUUUGCUGGCUGCAACUCAAUGGGAAGUCCCGUGAAGAUAAGGAGGCAGAAUUGCUGUUGUGACACAGUGCAACCCCCUAAAGGUUCAUCCAGCUAACAUCAGAUGGGCCCCGAGACCCUCCCCACAUUCUAGGACGCAUGCUUAGAAGAGGGGGGACAUCCGAUUUAUAUGUAACAAACUUCUUGGAAAUGUGAUGACUAUGUACAUGCUAUGCCUAUAAAUCUGUACUCUCUGCCUUGCUUGGUGUGUGAGUUAGGAGGAGAUAUCCCCCUUGCUGUUACAAACAUACCUGCUUUAUAACCUUAUAUGGGUUAUAGAGACUGAUUCCGUACGUCAGGUUGCUGAGCACAAAUUUAUAUACAGAAAUCCAGUCUAACUCGACUGUAUAAUGAAAACUGGGCUUCUUCAAUUUCUAAAGAGGUAUCAGUCAUUCUCUAAUGUGCUCCUUGUGUGCAUACGACCCAGAUAGCAAGCCCUGUUUUCCAGCUUUUCCCUACUGCUACCCAUUUCUGUCUCUAGUUUUGCUCUUACUUUGCUCCCUUUGCCUUGUUCUUUGCCAGAUCAACUCAGUCCUGAGCUUCGAAUCAUUUUUCUUACAGAUACCAGCUUGCUUGAAUCUCACUCAUCUCCUGGCUAUAACCUACCCCUUAUAUUCGCCUGGUUAUCCCAAUUGAACACAGCCCUAUUUUACAUCAUUUGCAUUGCUUUUAAAGGGUCAUUGAUAGCUGAACUGAGCAGCAUCUUCCUAGUGCUUUUUACCCUCACCAGAGAUAACACCUUUCUGUCUCUUUGGUGCAUCAUACUCGUUCCUGAUUGUCACUACCAACCACUGGCAACACGGCGGAGGAUUGCUGUCUUCUGACCUCAGCAGAAAAAAAAAAAGCGAAAUAGUACUCCUCCCAAACAUAAUGAAUGGGUUUCUGUGUUGGAAAACAGGAGAGCUGCUGCAAAUACGUGGAAUUUUCAUGUCGUUUCACAGAAAUCUUCUUUGUGCUUAUAAAUGUGCAUGACUAGCUGGGCCACAUUGCAGCACCCUGUUCUAUUUUUAAUUUAAUUUUUCAUUAAAUUAAUCAUAUUUUUCUUACCUCUGCUCUGGCAGGAUUAUGAGCAGGUUCAUUUGUCAGAAGAGCUAAUUACUGGGGGAUGGAUUACACAGAAUGGGAAGAUUUUCCUAGGCCAGUAGUUAUCUCCUGCAAAUCAGUGUCCUGAAAAUGCUCUAAGCAAUAUCUUAAUAGCCUGUAUAUGAAACAAAUGGACAUUAAAAGCUGGAGCUUAAUGUUUGUUUGUUUGUACAACAGCUAAUGCAAAUGAGUGGCAGGGAUUGCAUCUCACUGCCAGCUCCCAGUACUGUGUUCACUGCACCUUGCCUACACAAAAUGCCCAGCAUCACAAAUUGAGGAAGGUUGCAUGAGACUCUUCCCUCUGAAACCAUUUUUCCUGACUGUAAGUCUUGUAUUUGAUCAAGAUGUCUCCUAGAAAUCACCAAGUGCUGCCAGAACAGUGGUUGAGAACUCAGGAGGCUGCACCUCUUUCUCUCGUCACAAACCUUGCAGCCACAGAGCUGCCCCCCGAGCUGCUGUAGAAACCACACAGAUAGUCUGCAGGUCACACGCUCACUGCGCAGAAGAAGUGCCCCAGGUGCCCAGUCCCACGGCAGGCUGGUUGGGUUUUGUCCUUCAUGAAGCUCUGUUGCUCACAAAAGCAAAGGUGGUGAUUUUGUUCAAAGGAAGUCUGUGCUUGUUCUGAAUUGUGUGUCGCUAGCUGACUCACUGCUCUAAAGGUCAGCGGCUGAAGAGACUGCUAGAUGAGACUGAGGCUCCAAAGACCCUUCUGGAGCAAUCACGAUCUACCAGCAAGGAAUAAAGCUAUUACUGCAGCAUAAAGAACAUUAAGUGACCUUUACUGUCUAUUCUCUACAUUAAGGCGGAGCCUAAACCAAUCUUUCAGCAGCUCUGAUUACUAAGCAUUUCAGGAAGGUGUGGUAAGUAUCCUUUCCUUGCACAAAGGAAGAGACAUUGCUUUUCAGGGAAUUUUCCAAAUAGCUUUUCAUAUCAAGGCUGUCUGAGAUGAAGAGUGACGUGGAGCAUUGGGCUUGCUAAGUCAGUAAACUGCUCUAUGAUGCAUUUGUUCUGCUGCUGCUGCAGAAGACAGCACAUGAACUGAAUUAUAUAUUUUUUUGCUGCAAAUUCUGCUGUUGGCAGCUUCUGGAUAGAAAAACUACCCAAAGGAUAUAUGUCACAGCUUCCUCCUCGCAUGAAACUCACGAGAACCUUACGUGCGAAACUGAAG